GGCCUCCUGGUGCUUACCACAGGCUGUGUUCUUACACUAACUGUAUAGAAAGAGGAGAAAAAGUAAACCUACCCCAUAUACACCUCAGCCCAGGCCCUGUGCCUGGUCUGUAUUGUGACUGGGAAGCCAUGG
Molecule: small nucleolar RNA, 132 nt
Organism: Castor canadensis (American beaver)
Lineage: Eukaryota; Metazoa; Chordata; Mammalia; Rodentia; Castoridae
Source: Ensembl